UCUCUUCGAUUUGCCUGCGUAUUGGGAUAACUUUCAUCUUUAUGUCCAUGCCCGUCUACAGAUCAUUUCCAUAGAUAGGAACAUCCCUCACGAAUUGGAUUCGAACCAAUAUCAAGCUACUUGAUCGUUGACUUCCAAAAACACACUCUUAUAAAUACAAACAUUCCUUGCCAAGACCCAUAGACCCGAUCCUUUCCGUACCAAACAAACCCACCAAAAAAAAAAAAACAAUCUGUUUUGGUGGCUGUUUUCCUCAUGGAACUGCCACACCCUCAUGUAUCCAUCCAUACUCUUCCGACCGCCGCCACUUCAAGCAUCUCCCUUUGUCCUUUCAACCAAUCUUCAUAGCGCGCACUGUAGUUAACACCUUCAUCUCGCUGCUUGGCCAAUCUCCUCCCAACAGAGGCAUUUUCCACGUCGUCUCUUUUUUCAGUUUGUCUUUCAUCCAUGACCCAAAGGUACUUCUCUCUCUCACCUGUCCCCGGAGUUGACUAGGGGGCCAUCCGCGGAAGGUUGUCAUGCCGGAGGCCUCCACAUACAAGUUCAAGCGGAACUGGGAGAUGGACCAACACUGGCAGCAGAGUUGACUCAUCAGAUGUUACGUAUAGAAAAGCACAGGCGCAUUUUGUAAGUAGAUCAAGCAGGAAGGAAUCAAAACCAUGGAGCCCAGAGAUACCACGUUUGAAGGUAGAGAAAAGUCUCUUUGUUUUUCUUUUUUCGUUUUUUAUUUUUUAUAUUUCCUUUCUGGGCUAACUCUAUGGAGAUGAAUGGAGGGGAGACGAUGUCUUUCUUAAAGUGAGAAGUGUCAAACAUCGAAAUAUUUGUAAUUGCAAUCCUUGAAACUGAGAUGUAAUUAUUAUAAACUAAUACUUCUCUGGAGGAUGGUUUGAUAAAAAAAAAAAAGGUCUCCUCAUUUUUCAUAA
Punica granatum (pomegranate) is the source of this 923-nucleotide non-coding RNA. Lineage: Eukaryota; Viridiplantae; Streptophyta; Magnoliopsida; Myrtales; Lythraceae. The record is from RefSeq and is a predicted model, not a curated record.